GGUGGCUCAGUGGUAGAGUGCUUGCCUUGCAUGCAUGAGAUUCUGGGUUCAAUUCCUCAGUACCA
Molecule: transfer RNA, 65 nt
Filed under: Dipodomys ordii (Ord's kangaroo rat)
Lineage: Eukaryota; Metazoa; Chordata; Mammalia; Rodentia; Heteromyidae
Rfam family: tRNA
About the family: Transfer RNA (tRNA) molecules are approximately 80 nucleotides in length. Their secondary structure includes four short double-helical elements and three loops (D, anti-codon, and T loops).
Source: Rfam by way of RNAcentral